This is a long non-coding RNA of Trematomus bernacchii (emerald rockcod), 439 nucleotides long. RefSeq lists it as uncharacterized. The transcript is spliced from 3 exons. The record is from RefSeq and is a predicted model, not a curated record. NCBI's taxonomy places the organism in Eukaryota, Metazoa, Chordata, Actinopteri, Perciformes, Nototheniidae.
UUUGUCAGAGAUCAGCUGUUCUGCUCUGGCCUCAGCUCUGAAGUCCAACAUCCAUCUGAGAGAUCUGGACCUGAGAUACAACGCUCUGCAGUAUUCAGAUGUGAAGCUGCUGAGAGAUCUUCUGGAGAGUCCAGACUGCAGACUGGAGACUCUCAGGAUCAGAGAUGAUGAGACGAUCAGAGCCAAGAUCCAGAAGAACUGAACUCCCAUCCCCCGAGUCCUGCGGCAGGAAGCGCUCCUUCUCUUCAAGAACUCCUGGACCCUGCAAGCUGGUCCAGAACCAGAGUCCCAGUGAGGAGUCCAGCCAGUCGACCUCUCAGAGUUAAACUAAACUACAACAUUAUUAAAGAUCAUGUUUAAAGUUAAAAAAGGAUGCUUUCAGACUGAAUCCAGAAGUUUCUCAAGCUGCAGUCAAAGCAGGUCAUUUGUGAAAUAUAUA